Molecule: ribosomal RNA, 253 nt
Filed under: uncultured bacterium
Lineage: Bacteria
Description: partial 16S ribosomal RNA
Rfam family: Bacterial small subunit ribosomal RNA
Source: RNAcentral
UACGAAGGGUGCUAGCGUUGUUCGGAAUCACUGGGCGUAAAGCGCGCGCAGGCGGCCAUUCAAGUCAGGGGUGAAAUCCUUGGGCUUAACCCAAGAAUUGCCUUUGAAACUGUAUGGCUGGAGUGUCGGAGGGGAUAGCGGAAUUCCUAAUGUAGCGGUGAAAUGCGUAGAUAUUAGGAGGAACACCGGUGGCGAAGGCGGCUAUCUGGACGACAACUGACGCUGAGGCGCGAAAGCGUGGGGAUCAAACAGG